Molecule: ribosomal RNA, 510 nt
Filed under: Salmonella enterica
Lineage: Bacteria; Pseudomonadati; Pseudomonadota; Gammaproteobacteria; Enterobacterales; Enterobacteriaceae
Description: partial 23S ribosomal RNA
Source: RNAcentral
CCGGAGAAUGUUAUCACGGGAGACACACGGCGGGUGCUAACGUCCGUCGUGAAGAGGGAAACAACCCAGACCGCCAGCUAAGGUCCCAAAGUCAUGGUUAAGUGGGAAACGAUGUGGGAAGGCCCAGACAGCCAGGAUGUUGGCUUAGAAGCAGCCAUCAUUUAAAGAAAGCGUAAUAGCUCACUGGUCGAGUCGGCCUGCGCGGAAGAUGUAACGGGGCUAAACCAUGCACCGAAGCUGCGGCAGCGACACUSAGGUGUUGUUGGGUAGGGGAGCGUUCUGUAAGCCUGUGAAGGUGUGUCGUGAGGCAUGCUGGAGGUAUCAGAAGUGCGAAUGCUGACAUAAGUAACGAUAAAGCGGGUGAAAAGCCCGCUCGCCGGAAGACCAAGGGUUCCUGUCCAACGUUAAUCGGGGCAGGGUGAGUCGACCCCUAAGGCGAGGCCGAAAGGCGUAGUCGAUGGGAAACGGGUUAAUAUUCCCGUACUUGGUGUUACUGCGAAGGGGGGACGG